GACGAACGCUGGCGGCGUGCUUAACACAUGCAAGUCGAACGGAAAGGCCCUGCUUUUGUGGGGUGCUCGAGUGGCGAACGGGUGAGUAACACGUGAGUAACCUGCCCUUGACUUUGGGAUAACUUCAGGAAACUGGGGCUAAUACCGGAUAGGAGCUCCUGCUGCAUGGUGGGGGUUGGAAAGUUUCGGCGGUUGGGGAUGGACUCGCGGCUUAUCAGCUUGUUGGUGGGGUAGUGGCUUACGAAGGGUUUGACGGGUAGCCGACCUGAGAGGGUUACCGGCGACAUGGGGACUGAGAUACGGACCAGACUCCUACGGGAGGCAGAAGUGGGGAAUAUUGCGCAAUGGGCGGGAGCCAGAUGCAGCAACGCCGCGUGCGGGAUAACGGCCUUCGGGUUGUAAACCGCUUUCGCCUGUGACGAAGCGUGAGUGACGGUAAUGGGUAAAGAAGCACCGGCUAACUACGUG
This 468-nucleotide ribosomal RNA is filed under the name uncultured bacterium. Its description in RNAcentral is "partial 16S ribosomal RNA". It matches the Rfam family "Bacterial small subunit ribosomal RNA", at positions 28 to 507 of the family's 1533-position model. The record is from RNAcentral.